Long non-coding RNA from Galeopterus variegatus (Sunda flying lemur), 527 nucleotides. RefSeq lists it as uncharacterized. The transcript is spliced from 3 exons. NCBI's taxonomy places the organism in Eukaryota, Metazoa, Chordata, Mammalia, Dermoptera, Cynocephalidae. The record is from RefSeq and is a predicted model, not a curated record.
AUUCAGCCCUACUCCGUCUGGACGUGGGGUUUCUGAGGUGAGGCCGUUAAGUGAUGCUGAGGAGGUAAUGGGGAGCGAAUUGAAUUACAGCCCCACCAGCCAGACGUAAGAGUCGCGGCGCUGGGCCUGGCCGGGUCGUGGCGGCUGGGCUAGAGGUAAAGGAUGCAUUCCAAGAAAGUUCCGUAAAAAUAUAUCAUCAGCUCCAACCAUUGGGUGCUCAGCAGAUCAGACCAUAACUGGCACUUUUAAAAUCUGUUGCCAUCAAAAAGUAUCAAGAAUGAAAAUAGACUUGCUUACUUUCCAAGAAUAAUAUCUGUCUGGAGGGGAAGAUGAGCAGAAAUGCCUGCAGCCUCAUAAAAGGAUAGAGUCUCUUAAAAUUUGGGGCUCUUUUGUGGUGCAACCCACUGCAUGCAGAGGUAACACCUGGCCCUUAUAUCACACUGUGGGAAUUGGAGCAUGGGAAGCUGACAUACGAUGCUGCUCUGGCUGCUGUUUUUGCUGUAAUAAAUUGUGUCUAUGAACCUGAA